CCUACGGGAGGCAGCAGUGGGGAAUAUUGCACAAUGGGGGAAACCCUGAUGCAGCGACGCCGCGUGAGUGAAGAAGUAUCUCGGUACGUAAAGCUCUAUCAGCAGGGAAGAAAAUGACGGUACCUGACUAAGAAGCCCCGGCUAACUACGUGCCAGCAGCCGCGGUAAUACGUAGGGGGCAAGCGUUAUCCGGCUUUACUGGGUGGAAAGGGAGCGGAGACGGCAGCAGAAGUCCGGAGUGAAAACCCCGGGCUUAACCCCGGAACUGCUUUGGAAACUGGGUGGGUGGAGUGCAGGAGGGGUAAGCGGAAUUCCGAGUGUAGCGGUGAAAUGCGUAGAUAUUAGGAGGAACACCAGUGGCGAAGGCGGAUUACUGGACUGUAACUGACGCUGAGGCGCGAAAGCGUGGGGAGCAAACAGGAUUAGAUACCCCGGUAGUC
RNAcentral lists this ribosomal RNA (440 nucleotides) under uncultured bacterium. RNAcentral describes it as "partial 16S ribosomal RNA". It matches the Rfam family "Bacterial small subunit ribosomal RNA", at positions 338 to 795 of the family's 1533-position model. The record is from RNAcentral.